Molecule: ribosomal RNA, 262 nt
Filed under: uncultured prokaryote
Description: partial 16S ribosomal RNA
Rfam family: Bacterial small subunit ribosomal RNA
Source: RNAcentral
UACGUAGGGUGCGAGUGUUGUCCGGAAUUACUGGGCGUAAAGAGCUCGUAGGUGGUUUGUCGCGUCGUCUGUGAAAUUCCGGGGCUUAACUCCGGGCGUGCAGGCGAUACGGGCAAUACUUGAGUGCUGUAGGGGAGACUGGAAUUCCUGGUGUAGCGGUGAAAUGCGCAGAUAUCAGGAGGAACACCAAUGCCGAAGGCAGGUCUCUGGGCAGUAACUGACGCUGAGGAGCGAAAGCAUGGGGAGCGAACAGGAUUAGAUA